CUUUAUUGGAGAGUUUGAUCCUGGCUCAGGAUGAACGCUGGCGGCGUGCCUAAUACAUGCAAGUCGAGCGAAUGGAUUAAGAGCUUGCUCUCAAGAAGUUAGCGGCGGACGGGUGAGUAACACGUGGGUAACCUGCCCAUAAGACUGGGAUAACUCCGGGAAACCGGGGCUAAUACCGGAUAAUAUUUUGAACUGCAUGGUUCGAAAUUGAAAGGCGGCUUCGGCUGUCACUUAUGGAUGGACCCGCGUCGCAUUAGCUAGUUGGUGAGGUAA
Molecule: ribosomal RNA, 273 nt
Filed under: Bacillus toyonensis
Lineage: Bacteria; Bacillati; Bacillota; Bacilli; Caryophanales; Bacillaceae
Description: 16S rRNA. Bacterial SSU
Rfam family: Bacterial small subunit ribosomal RNA
Source: RNAcentral